This 329-nucleotide ribosomal RNA is filed under the name uncultured eukaryote. RNAcentral's name for it is "partial 18S ribosomal RNA". It matches the Rfam family "Eukaryotic small subunit ribosomal RNA", at positions 1470 to 1796 of the family's 1831-position model. The record is from RNAcentral.
CCCUUAGAUGUCCUGGGCCGCACGCGCGCUACACUGAGUGUCUGAGAUACGAGUCUGCCUGGUCCGGCAAGGUCUAGGUAAUCGCUAAAAGACACAUCAUGCUUGGGAUAGAUUAUUGCAAAUAUUAAUCUUGAACGAGGAAUUCCUAGUAAGCGCAAGUCAACAGCUUGCGUUGAUUACGUCCCUGCCCUUUGUACACACCGCCCGUCGCUACUACUGAUUGGAUGUUUAAGCGAGGUUCUCGAACUGCUAGCGACUUAGCUUCGGUGAGGUCGCAGUGUGGGAAGUGAACCGAGCUUUGGGGUCUAGAGGAAGUAAAAGUCGUAACA